AGCGAACGCUGGCGGCGUGCCUAACACAUGCAAGUCGAACGUGAAAGGGAGCAAUCCCAAGUAAAGUGGCGUACGGGUGAGUAACACGUAGGUAAUCUACCCCAGAAUCUGGAAUAACCGGCCGAAAGGCUGGCUAAUACUGGAUAGAGCGACGGAAUCCGUAAUUGGGUUUUUCGGGAAAGGGAGCCUGUAAAAAGGCCUUCGUUCUGGGAUGAGCCUGCGUCCCAUCAGCUAGUUGGUGAGGUAAAAGCUUACCAAGGCAAUGACGGGUAGCUGGUCUGAGAGGACGAUCAGCCACACUGGAACUGAAACACGGUCCAGACUCCUACGGGAGGCAGCAGUGGGGAAUCUUGCGCAAUGGACGAAAGUCUGACGCAGCAACGCCGCGUGAGUGAAGAGGGCCUUCGGGUUGUAAAGCUCUGUCGAGUGGGACGAAAAUGCUUGGAGUUCACAGCUCCAGGAACUGACGGUACCACUAAAGGAAGCACCGGCUAACUCCGUG
RNAcentral lists this ribosomal RNA (502 nucleotides) under uncultured bacterium. RNAcentral describes it as "partial 16S ribosomal RNA". It matches the Rfam family "Bacterial small subunit ribosomal RNA", at positions 29 to 507 of the family's 1533-position model. The record is from RNAcentral.